This 253-nucleotide ribosomal RNA is filed under the name uncultured bacterium. RNAcentral's name for it is "partial 16S ribosomal RNA". It matches the Rfam family "Archaeal small subunit ribosomal RNA", at positions 474 to 727 of the family's 1478-position model. The record is from RNAcentral.
UACCAGCACCCCGAGUGGUCGGGACGAUUAUUGGGCCUAAAGCAUCCGUAGCCGGUUCUACAAGUCUUCCGUUAAAUCCACCUGCUUAACAGAUGGGCUGCGGAGGAUACUAUGGAGCUAGGAGGCGGGAGAGGCAAGCGGUACUCAAUGGGUAGGGGUAAAAUCCGCUGAUCCAUUGAAGACCACCAGUGGCGAAGGCGGCUUGCCAGAACGCGCUCGACGGUGAGGGAUGAAAGCUGGGGGAGCAAACCGG